AGGAGAGGACGACGACCCUGACCUACGGGAGGCCCGAGCUCGACCACGCCGACGACGACGAUGCCCCGCACAAGGUCCCUCCCUACUCCCCCCUUGUCUCCUCAUCUUCAUUCCUUCCUUGUUUCUCCCAUUCCCAAUCAUUUUAUUUUGAGUCGAUUCAGAUCAACAGAAGAUCUCUGCCUCUCAAGUUCCAUGGAAGGACGACCGGGACCCCACGCUCGAGCCCGACGAGCUGGACGAGUUCGACAGCGAGGUCGUCCGCCCCACGCACCAUGAUUCCCCAAAGAACAAGGUUGACCCUCUUGCUCUGUUUUUCUUUUCUUUCCAAGUG
RNAcentral lists this long non-coding RNA (331 nucleotides) under Triticum aestivum (bread wheat). RNAcentral's name for it is "long non-coding RNA (TAES_LNC028230)". The record is from RNAcentral. Lineage: Eukaryota; Viridiplantae; Streptophyta; Magnoliopsida; Poales; Poaceae.